Molecule: long non-coding RNA, 1337 nt
Organism: Salvia miltiorrhiza (redroot sage)
Lineage: Eukaryota; Viridiplantae; Streptophyta; Magnoliopsida; Lamiales; Lamiaceae
Exons: 2
Source: RefSeq, a predicted model, not a curated record
GUUUUAUUGAAAUCUAACCUUAAUUUUACUGAUUUUCUCCAAAUCUAAUGAAUCCAUAAUUUCUCCAAGUCUUCCUCCCCAACUCUUCUCUCUUGUCUCAUCUGAUUCUUUCUGCUCCAACUCCUUUUCCCCAAUUGGCAGCAGCAUUGCGACACCGUUUGAGAGCACGAUGGGAGAUAAGUAUGUACCCAAUAUUUAUGGUUUAUGUUUAGCGAAGGAUUCUGGUGUUUCGAAGGUGUCUGUCCAUUUUUAUGGGUUUACGAGAUUGGUGGAGUUGGUCUUUCGAAAGCUUCAAUUCCUGAAUAAUGUCGAACUCGUCUAGCUGAAGGGAUAUAAUUGGGUUCAGAAGUUGUGUGGGCAUGAUAUUGCAAUGACUGAGGAAACCUCACACGCUCAGAGAAAUUCAGAAAGGAGAUUCUAUUGCUAUUCUCAAAAGAAGUGGGAUGAUUGUGGGUUGUGGCAAUGUGUAGAUCAAGAGCUAAGCGCUCACUACAAGUUUUGUUUCAAUAAUAUUAAGAAUGAAAGGGAUAAGUUGGUAUGGCAAGUAAACUGCCGAAGCUUGUUGGAGGACAUGAACAAUGAAAAAAUUUGAGCUAGUUAAAGUUGAGGAACUGGCUGCAUUGAAGCUGAGCUUCGAGGAGACAAAUGACGAGGUUCAAGAUUUGAGGAAACUUAGAAAAGAAUUGGAAUGGAAACUAAAGUGUAUGCAGUUGAUUGUAGUUUUUCGUGUUUUGAUAAAGUGUAUGUAGUAUUGGUGUAGUUGUAGAACCAAUAGGUCAUGUUUGUUAUGUCUUGAUGAUGAGGAGUAAGGAUCUCAUCAGCACAAAACCUACGAACAUAUAUGAGUUUAUAUGAUUAAAGUAACAUCACAAACUUGUAGUGACCACAAGGUAAUACACCAGAGGAGAGCCUGCGCAGCCUCGAAGUAUCCUGCGCUGACUUCCAGAGGAGAGACCAAGCUAUGUUAAGGUGCCGUCUGCGCAGACGGCCACACAACAUUAUCACUAACUAGGGAUCAAAAAGACAACAUCAUGUCACAAGCUCCAAAUACAAAAGAUGAGAAUAAAAAAAGACGACGCCUGCGCAGGAGAAUACGACACCAGACUGCGCUGUCAUGAUGAGCGCAUAACAUUUGUAAAGCUGCGAAGUUAGUUAAUAAAGAAUAUUCUUCCGAUAAUGACCUAGGUACGUAUUCUAGCAUGUGGAGUACGUGAAUUAGAGUGGAAAGUCUAAUGUGCCCUUUGCCCUUGUAAAUUCCUAUAAAUACUCUUUGUAACCUUCUUCACAAGGCAAGUUACAUGAAAUAGAAUUAUAGAAGAGUUUUGAGUUCUCUGCAA